GCAUUAAUGGGGUAGUGGUAACCUGGGUCGUUGCCAUCAUCCAAGCUCGACCCGCCGGGGGUUCGAUUCCCCCUUAAUGCA
Molecule: transfer RNA, 81 nt
Filed under: Macrolepiota fuliginosa MF-IS2
Lineage: Eukaryota; Fungi; Basidiomycota; Agaricomycetes; Agaricales; Agaricaceae
Description: tRNA-Gly
Rfam family: tRNA
About the family: Transfer RNA (tRNA) molecules are approximately 80 nucleotides in length. Their secondary structure includes four short double-helical elements and three loops (D, anti-codon, and T loops).
Source: RNAcentral